RNAcentral lists this signal recognition particle RNA (280 nucleotides) under Saimiri boliviensis boliviensis (Bolivian squirrel monkey). RNAcentral describes it as "Metazoan signal recognition particle RNA (ENSSBOG00000000748.1)". It matches the Rfam family "Metazoan signal recognition particle RNA". From Rfam's summary of the family: The signal recognition particle (SRP) is a universally conserved ribonucleoprotein. It is involved in the co-translational targeting of proteins to membranes. The record is from RNAcentral. Lineage: Eukaryota; Metazoa; Chordata; Mammalia; Primates; Cebidae.
GUUUGUGUCCCAGCUACUCCAGGAGGCUGAGGUGGGAGGAUCGCUUGAGCCCAGGAGUUCUGGGCUGUAGUGUGCUAUGCUGGUCGGGUGUCUGCACUAAGUUCAGCACCAAUAUGGUAACCUCCCAGGAGCAGGGGACCACCAGGUUGCCUAAGGAGGGGUGAACCUGCCCAGGUCGGAAACAGAGCAGGUCAAAACUCCCGUGCUGAUCAGUAGUGGAAUCAUGCCUGUGAAUAGCCACUGCACUUCAGCCUGGGCAACAUAGCGAGACCCCGUCUCU